ACGCCUACGGGGGGCAGCAGUGGGGAAUAUUGCACAAUGGGGGAAACCCUGAUGCAGCAACGCCGCGUGAGUGAAGAAGUAUUUCGGUAUGUAAAGCUCUAUCAGCAGGGAAGAAGAUGACGGUACCUGAAUAAGAAGCCCCGGCUAACUCCGUGCCAGCAGCCGCGGUAAUACGGAGGAUGCGAGCGUUAUCCGGAUUUAUUGGGUUUAAAGGGUGCGCAGGCGGAGGUGCAAGUCCGCGGUCAAAUUGCGGGGCUCCACCCCGUACUGCCGUUGAAACUGCCUCCCUUUAGUGCGCGGGAAGG
RNAcentral lists this ribosomal RNA (305 nucleotides) under uncultured bacterium. RNAcentral describes it as "bacterial SSU rRNA". It matches the Rfam family "Bacterial small subunit ribosomal RNA", at positions 335 to 658 of the family's 1533-position model. The record is from RNAcentral.